CCUCUCUAGUCUUACACGUGGCGCUUACAGCUUUCUUUCGUGUUUUAUCUGUCACUGGCAGGAGGGGGAGUGUCGCCUGUCAAGCUCUAAGUAAAAGGUCCUGUGGAGUGAGAUGCUGUUGGGUCCAGAUUUAACAUCACAAGCUGCUGCUGCCCUCUUGCUACCAGCCUGCAGGUGAGGCCCACUCUGAUGAUGGAAGAGAGGAGGCAGAAGGAAUCUGGCCCUUGAUAAUGUGGUCAAGAAGCUGGGUUCACCCUCCCUGGAACCUGCCCUGCUCCUGAAUUUCCUUUUCUGAAAAAACACACCAUCCUCCUUGCCCUUAACCAGACCUUGACCUCUGACACUUCCAGGAAAGGAAGACAGAGCCCAAACGCAGGAUGUACAAAACGUGAAUUCUUACUUUUCUCAAAGUCUGAGGGCCCAGUUUCCAGUAAUCAAAGGGAUUUUACAAAAGCAACUCUGACUAUAAGCAAUCUUCACCUUACUAGCUGACUUCACACCUGGCUAGCUGCCUGGUAAAAUGUGGCUCCAUCCUUACUGGAGAUCGAAGUGUUGAUGCACUUACUCAGUUUUCCCAAAAAGUCGCUGUGAAAUCCUCAGCACUCAGGAAAAAUGGCUAGGAUGAGCCCGGGGAGAGCGGAAAGUCUGAGUGGCAGACGCUGCAGGCUGCCUCCUAUGACUAGCCUCUCCUUCC
Long non-coding RNA from Piliocolobus tephrosceles (Ugandan red Colobus), 694 nucleotides. RefSeq lists it as uncharacterized. The transcript has 3 exons. Lineage: Eukaryota; Metazoa; Chordata; Mammalia; Primates; Cercopithecidae. The record is from RefSeq and is a predicted model, not a curated record.